RNAcentral lists this ribosomal RNA (301 nucleotides) under uncultured bacterium. RNAcentral describes it as "partial 16S ribosomal RNA". It matches the Rfam family "Bacterial small subunit ribosomal RNA", at positions 509 to 807 of the family's 1533-position model. The record is from RNAcentral.
CAGUCGCCGCGGUAAUACAGAGGGUGCGAGCGUUAAUCGGAUUUACUGGGCGUAAAGCGUGCGUAGGCGGCUUCUUAAGUCGGAUGUGAAAUCCCUGAGCUUAACUUAGGAAUUGCAUUCGAUACUGGGAAGCUAGAGUAUGAGAGAGGAUGGUAGAAUUCCAGGUGUAGCGGUGAAAUGCGUAGAGAUCUGGAGGAAUACCGAUGGCGAAGGCAGCCAUCUGGCCUAAUACUGACGCUGAGGUACGAAAGCAUGGGGAGCAAACAGGAUUAGAUACCCGGGUAGUCCCUGUCUCUUAUAC